CCCCCCAAAGCAAAAAUGCUAAGUGUUAGAGGGUUUCCGCCCUUUAGUGCUGCAGCUAACGCAUUAAGACUCCAACUGGGGAGGACGGUCGCAAGACUGAAACUCAAAGGAAUUGACGGGGGCCCGCCCAAGCGGUGGAACAUGUGGUUUAAUUCGAAGCAACGCGAAAAACCUUACCAGGUCUUGACAUCCUUUGCCACUUCUAAAAAAUAGAAGGUCCCCCCUCCGGGGGACAAAAUGACAGGGGGGGCAUGGUUGUCCUCACCUCGUGUCGUGAAAAUGUUGGGUUAAAUCCCCCAACGAGCGCAACCCUUGAUUUUAUUUGCCACCAUUCAGUUGGGCCUUCUAAGGGGACUGCCGGGGAAAACCCGGAGGAAGGGGGGGAUGACGUCAAAUCAUCAUGCCCCUUAUGAUUUUGGGCUACACACGUGCUACAAUGGAUGGAACAAAGGGCUGCGAAACCGCGAAGGUUUAACCAAUCCCAUAAAACCAUUCUCAGUUCGGAUUGGAGGCUGCAACUCCCCUGCUUGAAAAUUGGAAAUCCCUAAAAAUCCCGGAUCCACAUGCCGCGGGGGAAAAAAAUUUCCCCGGGGCCUUGUAUAAAACGCCCGUCACACCACAAAAAGUUUUGCAACCCCCCAAAACUCGGGGGGGGGAAAACCCCAAAGACCCCCCCCCCCCAAAAGGGGGGGAAAAAGAUUGGGGGGGAAAAGCCAACCAGGGAAACCGAGUA
RNAcentral lists this ribosomal RNA (733 nucleotides) under Bacillus sp. (in: firmicutes). Its description in RNAcentral is "partial 16S ribosomal RNA". It matches the Rfam family "Bacterial small subunit ribosomal RNA", at positions 798 to 1507 of the family's 1533-position model. The record is from RNAcentral. Lineage: Bacteria; Bacillati; Bacillota; Bacilli; Caryophanales; Bacillaceae.